GAACAUUACCAAUUGAGCUUGACAAUUUCAUCUCCUCAAUAACUUAAUCCGGUAUAAUCAAACCAACAUAUGCUCUCUACAAGUCUAUCCCUUGAUGCACAGGGUUGCCAAUCGCAAUGCGAUAAUAACUAUCGAUGAUGCCCAACACCUGUCUCCACGAGACCUAGGGAUGCGAAUGGAUCCGGGGUAGUGGAGCUCCCGCCCCGAUCCGCCCCGAAUGGGGCAGUAAACGGGAGGAAAUAAACGGAUUCAGGGCAGGAAACGGGGCAAUUUUUAUAAUCCGUGGCGGAUUCGGGGCAGGAAAUGGGAAAAUUUUUGAUCCACCCCGAAUCCGCCCCGCCAUGAUCCGCCCCGAAUCCGCCCCGAAUGUAUGUCUUUAAAAUUUUUCCAUAUGUAUGUAUUUAAAAUUUUUGAAUUUUGUUGCGAGUUGUGAUUGAUAUUUUUGAUUUUUAUAGUUGAUAUUAUUAAUUAUAUAUAACUUGAUAAUAUUAUCAAUUAAUAUUAAAAAUUUUGUUGAUUUAGAUUUAUAAAAUAUUAAUAAUAUUAUAAUUUAUAAAACAAAUACUAUUUGGCGGGGCGGAUUCGGGGCAUUAGCGGGAG
RNAcentral lists this long non-coding RNA (600 nucleotides) under Ananas comosus (pineapple). RNAcentral describes it as "long non-coding RNA (ACOM_LNC032600)". Lineage: Eukaryota; Viridiplantae; Streptophyta; Magnoliopsida; Poales; Bromeliaceae. The record is from RNAcentral.